Molecule: long non-coding RNA, 1386 nt
Organism: Lineus longissimus
Lineage: Eukaryota; Metazoa; Nemertea; Pilidiophora; Heteronemertea; Lineidae
Exons: 3
Source: RefSeq, a predicted model, not a curated record
UACACACUGACAACAUUUUGGGAAACAUGUUGGCCAACAUGUUGUCCAGGUGCGAUGUUAUCGAAAAUGUUGGCAGUGUGUACAGUUCGGAAACAUUCGGAAACAUUCGGUAACAUGUUGGCCAAAUGUUGCUCAAAUGUUGUCGAAAUAAUACAAAAUCAAUUUUGUUGCCGAGAUGCUAAUGAUGUUGUCGAGUUUUAUCCAAUCAGAAAUAGGCCACAAAUCACAUGAUCUACCUUAAGCCAUGUGAUGUAGUCAAAAUGGCAGCCUCAAGCAAGGAAUGGUUACUGAGUGAAGUUGAACAACUUAUGCAGUAUGGGAAAGUUGUGCCUGUUUAUGGGAUGUAACAUCCAAGGAAUAUAAAGACAAGAACAAAAAGAAAGCUGCUAUUUUAGAAAUAGCUACAAAAUUUGAAACAACAGUUGAUGAAGUAAACAAAAAGAUGAAAUCACUUCAGGCCCAGCACAACCGAGAAAAAAAUAAGAAAAUGGCAUCAAUGAGCAGUGGAGCCGACACUGACGAGGUAACCAAAGUCAACUGGGUGCACUAUGACCAAAUGUAUUUUUUAGAGGAAAUUGCUGGAAAGCGAUCAGUAACAAGGUCGAAUCUGACAAGUCAGUCACAGGCUUAUGAGGCAGAGGAAGCUGAGGUAGUGGACGAUCUUGCUGAUGGAUCUGUAGAGGGGAAUGAUGAAGAUGAUGAUGAAGAGCUGCCAGAAAUUCGACGUUCCACAAAGAAACCUGUGAAAGAGAAAAGAAUGAGUAAGAAGCGACGACUAGAAGAAAGUGAAAAUAACCUCCUUCACAGAGCCACGAAGGCUGUAGAAAGAGCUACCAUACCUGAGAUCCAGGUGGAAAAGACACAAUGUGCCGAUGACAUCUUUGGACAAUAUGUAUCUUCAGAAUUAAAAACCAUUUCUGAUGCAAGAUUGAAAAAAUUUGUGAAACACAAAAUUCAAACAGUAAUUUUUGAGUGUACCAUGCCCAUGCAAAGGCCGCAAAUGCUGCUCUCACAUCCUCCUGCUAGAAGCAUGGCUCAAAGUGUCCCAUCAAUAAGACCAUUUGAGCCACCUGGCAGGAGGACGGAGAUGUUUCGUACUCCCUCUCCUUUUCAAGGAGGCCAAUUCCCCUCUCCGUCUCCUUCUCCUUUUUCUGCCUCUCCAUCACCCUCGUUAUCUGACUCACAAAUGACCUAUAUGUCGCUGUAAAUCUCAGAGAGGUGAGCUUUUGCUUUGGCGAGGCGUCCGUCGUUGCCGCCAUCCGUUCGACCUAUUGAGUUGAAUGUUGUUGUACACAUGUACCCUUAUAUAAGUUUUGGUCCAAUUCUCAGUUUUAAGAAAUCUAAAAAGUGUUAAUCUCGAUUACAAACGUAGAAUGCCAAACAUGG